CUGGGUUUGACAUGCACAGGACGCCGGUAGAGAUAUCGGUUCCCUUGUGGUCUGUGUGCAGGUGGUGCAUGGCUGUCGUCAGCUCGUGUCGUGAGAUGUUGGGUUAAGUCCCGCAACGAGCGCAACCCUUGUCUCAUGUUGCCAGCGCGUUAUGGCGGGGACUCGUGAGAGACUGCCGGGGUCAACUCGGAGGAAGGUGGGGAUGACGUCAAGUCAUCAUGCCCCUUAUGUCCAGGGCUUCACACAUGCUACAAUGGCCGGUACAAAGGGCUGCGAUGCCGUGAGGCUUAGCGAAUCCUUUAAAGCCGGUCUCAGUUCGGAUCGGGGUCUGCAACUCGACCCCGUGAAGUCGGAGUCGCUAGUAAUCGCAGAUCAGCAACGCUGCGGUGAAUACGUUCCC
RNAcentral lists this ribosomal RNA (400 nucleotides) under uncultured bacterium. Its description in RNAcentral is "bacterial SSU rRNA". It matches the Rfam family "Bacterial small subunit ribosomal RNA", at positions 975 to 1375 of the family's 1533-position model. The record is from RNAcentral.